Molecule: long non-coding RNA, 272 nt
Organism: Maylandia zebra (zebra mbuna)
Lineage: Eukaryota; Metazoa; Chordata; Actinopteri; Cichliformes; Cichlidae
Source: RefSeq, a predicted model, not a curated record
UGAAGCUCUUCUGCACCAUUAAAGGAUAAACCCUUUUUAUUCUACCGGACCUGGGACCCAUUUCUUCAUUACCUAAUCGCCUCUGCAUUUUCCGGGAUGAUAUAUGAGUCAACAAAACAACAGCCUGCUGACACUAAUGGACCAGUCAGAGUGGAUUAACAAUCCCACCACUAAAAGCAAACCUCGCUCUCCUAAGUUUUAAAUGGACUCACCCACUGCCAUGUCCAGCUUCACACCAAUCCAGAUCCCCUUGGCAAACUCCACCCCUCCCA